CAGAAUCCGCAGCAGGCUCUAGGCUCUGAGCUGUCAGCACAGAGCCUGUUGUGGGGCUCGAACUCAUGAAUGGUAAGAUCCUGACCUGAGCCAAAGUUGGAUGCUUAACCAACUGAGCCACCUAGGCACCCCUGUGGUUCACUUUUUUGACAGAAGUACAGACAUCUCUCUGACAGAAGUAUAGACUGUGGAGAAGCUUCCACAAUAUUUUAGAAGCACUUAUUACUGGUUACAUAAUUAAGAUUUCAUUUAGGUUUAAUGAUAGCCAACUUGGGAGUCCACAUACUGAAGAGUAAUACUAAUGUUCUCAGUGCAACUGGGCAUUGGCACUUCUAAUUAUUACUUUGCCUGGGCCAGGGAGACCCCCUGGUUUCCUGUAGGAUGCUGGUUAUUCCUUCUCUGCUAAUUUCUACCACCUAUUUAAUUGUUUCAUAUGAUCAGAAGCUGGAUAAGAAAAAAGAGAAAAUAGUAACACUAGUAGUUUGUUACUGAUGAAGGGAUGUUAAAUCCAUAAGAAUGAAUUUGUUUCAAGAAAAUAGCUAUAGCUGUAGCCUUCUAAGCAUGAAAAAUUUUCUUUUAAGACUCAGAAGUUCCUCUCUGUGGUAAAAAACAAAUCUAUUGAAUACGCCGUGUUUGUUCAAUUACUGAGGUAGAAUUCUCUGUUUUGAUUGUGAAACAUUAUCACGUUAAUACAAAUAUUGAUGGAGAAUGACAUGCUUUAUCAAGCUCCAAGUUUAAGAGGGCAAACAGAAAAAAUAUGUCGAACUGUUUGAGCCAAGCAAUUAGUUUCUGUUUACUUUAGGUCUAACUCAGUGAGCUGCCGAGAGAAUUCUUAUAGUGCUUUCUCCUCUCCAACACAGUUGAGGAUCGUGACCUUGAUCAGGUCAUGCAGUCCCAAAAGUGUCCGGUUAUUUGACAGUUUUAAUAGGAGGCGUUCUCAAAAUCAGCAGAAAUUACAAAAAUGUAGUUUUCAACAAAGCUAGUGAAAAUGUGGCUGGCAGAACUCCAAGUCAGGCGUCGUGGCCCAUGAGGUAAGUCAGGAAAAGUGCACUUUCUCUGACCUGAGAAAUCACCGCAGUACGUUUCUGUCUUAAUCCUACAUUUAAAAAAAGGCAGUAUUAAUUCUGAGUGUGCCUUUUAAGAAAAUUUGUGUAACCGGUUUCAGAAAAAUAGAAACACUCGUGGGGGUACCUGGGUGGCUCAGUCGUUUAAGGCUCUGACUCUUGGUUUCGGCUCAGGUCAUGAUCUCCUAGUUUCGUGAGUCUCGAGCCCCACGUUGGUCUCUGUGCUGGAGGUGGCGCGGAGCCUGCUUGGGAUUGUCUCCCUCUUUCUCUUUCUCUUUCUCUCUCUCUCUCUCUCUCUGCCCUUCCCCCACUCACACUGUUUCUGUCUCAAAAUGAAUUAAAAAAAAAUAAAAGAAGUAAAUAAAAACACACAUUAUUUAAAGAGUUCAGAUGUGGGGCAUGUUCUGUCCAGGGCUGCUGGCUAUUCUCCCCAGGUUCCUGAUGCUCAGCUCCGUGACCCAUUGCAACGCUGCCAUCCUUGGAUCCCCCGCUGCUCUCUGGCCAGCUUGUCUUUUCAUGUGUGCCUCUGGGGGAUGUUUUUUCAAGCCUUGGUAAACAAGGUACAUUCAGAUUGUAUUCGGUACAUGGUCACAAUUCUCUGAGUUAUGCAGCAUCUCGCUGAGACAUCCUAGCUAAAGUUAAAGCUGCUCUUCCGCUCUGGUCCCAGGCUUCUGAUAAACUCCCAUGAAAAGUGUCCACAGGCACAGGAAAGCAAGUGGACCGAGUCAGCAGAAUUCUUGAAGGAAGCCAGUGCAGUGUGAUAAGUGCGAGAUGCACUUUGAAUGAAAACCCUGGCCACCGAUGUUGGUUAGGAUUGAAUGGAAAGAGACUUGUCUGUUAUUUCAUGAAAGUGAGCAAAGAAAGAGGAAGUGGCAAGGAGAAUAGGGACAGUAUUUUUUCUUCAUCUCGUGUUAGCCCUUCUCAAAGUAGAAGAUUCUCUUGCUGUAUCUGCAUCCGGUCACAUAGCUGGCUUUCAGCAAAUGUUGAAUAAAUGAAUGAAUAAUGUUGAAUGAAUGAAUGAAUAAUUCUUCUACUAGAAUAGGAGCUGGGCCUUAGCUUCUAGGCCUUCAUCUUCUAUUCUUCAUCCUUCUGUAACUCAGAGGGCUUUGGCAUAUUCUUGGGACCGGGAUAAUGUAGUCUCCACAUAAACCCCUCUCCCUACUUUGAGCAUAGGGGUGCACAUGAAAACAAAGUGAGGAAGGGCCAGUGCCCGUCUUCCCUACUCAAGUGAGGUGUCUGAAAGAAUCUUUCAGAAGACACUAAAGAAAUCCAUCUCACUCACCCUGUGCUGGCCGUGGCUGCACAAAUAAGGAGCUGUGCAUGCAUUAGCUGCAUCGUGGGCUAGCCAGUGUAUCUUGGCACUUGAUAUUUUGGCAACAGAGAUACCCAGAUACUUCAAGGGAGGCUCCCUCCAGAUGUUUCUAAUGAGAACAGCAGAUGAAAGCGCUUGGCAUCUGCUGUUCUUGCAAGUAUUUGAGAUGUAGCUCUGUUUUUGGAGUCGUGGAUCUUAGAAGCUGGCCUACCGCUGUGGUUCGUCUCACCCCAGAGCACUCGAUUUUGCUCCAGCUGGCUGUCUAGUUAAGAAGAUGUUUUGUCUCUGGAAGACAAGUACUGAGAAAAUUAAAACGUAGAAGUGAAAGCCGUAGUCUGAUUUUUGACCACAUCUGCAGUCUUGGAAAGUACAGAGUGUAUUCAGGCUUAUUCUGAGCUUCUGUCUUUGAUGAACUUCCUGACAACACUGAGUAAACUGAUGUCUUUCCUGGAAGAGGGUCAUGAUUGGGCUUUUUGGGUGUGAUGAAGUGUAUAUGAGAUUGAUUUCUCCCUUUGGUUUCCUUUUUGAGCAGAGAUGAGAUUUUGGAAUAGAGGGCUUUCCGAAGAGGUUGUCCCUAUUGCCUUGGCAUCAUAUUUCCUUUUUAGAGCCACAACAGAAUCUUCAGAGGGAAAAAUAGAUGGAAUGUUUCAAGACUGACCAAGUCAGAGGUACAGUAGAUAGUAAAAGGGGCACCAGCCAACCAGACGGGAUGCUCCAGUGGCCCCGAAUGGCAGUGGUGUUGCCCCGAGAUAAUUACAGCACAAGGAUGAAGCCUCACCACCCUCAUUCCAUCAUACUUGGUGAGAGGAAAGGGAGCAGAGUCCUGCAGCCUGGUGGCAUGAUUUCUAACGUUGUUGAUAUCAUAUUCUUUGAUUCUAUGGACGGUAGUGUGGGAGAUGCCUUCUUGUGCUGUUGAACCCCGGUGAAACGUUGACUGUGAUGUUCAUGGCUUUCACGUCUUUCUCAGUCUAUUCUACGAGAGUGUCUAGUAGAGAGCAGGCAAUGAAUGUAUGCAUGCAGCAGUAGAGAAUGUCUGCAUGUAACUGAUUAGGAGGCAUGAGGCCCUUGUGUGAGAUGUUUCCUUUGGUAGCUGGAGAUAACAUUUAAUUAGAAGAGCUUUAGUGGGUUGUGCCUUCCUUUUUCUUUCUUGAUCCUGAAUUUUUUUUUAAAUGUUUAUUUUUGAAGGGAGGGGCAGAAAGAGGGAGACAGAGGAUCCGAAGUAGGUUCCAGGCUCUGUACUGACAGCAGAGAGCCUGAUACGGGGCUUGAACCCAUGAACUGUGAGAUCAUGACCUGAGCUGAAGUCGACGCUCGACUGAAUGAGCCACCUAGGUACUCUUUGAUACUGAAUUUUUAAAAAUGUAAUCAUGAAAUAAAAAACUGUAUGGCAGUUUUUAAAACUAAUUUUCAAAGUAAGUAUGUUGACCUCGAUGGAUAGUAUGUAUAUGUUGGAGGGGGGCUGCUGCGUGUGUGUAUGUUAUAGUACUAAUCUAUUUCUUCACAUUUGUUGUCCUUAUAAAGUAGAGCCGAUGUUCUUUUCCCCAUUUUAAUUUAGCUACUCCCCGUUGUGUUUUGGGAAUGUUAUAUUCAAAAUGAAUUCUGUGCUACAACGUAAGUAACUAUAAUUGUGGCAAAUCACUACUUGCGUGUUGAUUUUGGAUUUAGACAGGACAACAGAGCUUAGGAAAGAACAAAGCAAAAUGAAGUUUGGGGAGAAAAGGGAGACAACUGUAGACUAAUGCAAACCAACAGAACUAAGAAAAUCAAAGGAAAACACAGUAUGAUGCUUUCAGAAAAAUAAUGGGCAAAAUGUUCUUGUCUACUUUGAAAUAAUACCUGUUGGUACUGUGUGAUGGGCAUAUAAAGUUUCAUCAUGCUAGUCUCUAUUUUUAUAUAUAUAUUGAGAAUUUUGUAUAAUAAAACAUUUUUUGAAAGGGAGGCACAUGAGACAAGAUGCUAACAUUUAUUAUAUCUUUAUACUUGAUUGUGUGUAUAUUUGAUAAUUAAAAGGAAAUUAGGGGUGCCUGGGUGGCUCAGUCAGUUCAGUGUCUGACUCUUGAUUUCAGCUCAGAUCAUGAUCUUAUGAUCUCAGGUCUGUGAGUUUGAGCCCCACAUUGGACUCUGAGCCGACAGCACGGGCCUGCUUGGGAUUCUCUCUCUGCCCCUCCCCUGCUUGUGCUCUGUCUCCUUCUCACUCA
Long non-coding RNA from Acinonyx jubatus (cheetah), 4574 nucleotides. RefSeq lists it as uncharacterized. The record is from RefSeq and is a predicted model, not a curated record. NCBI's taxonomy places the organism in Eukaryota, Metazoa, Chordata, Mammalia, Carnivora, Felidae. The transcript has 2 exons.